This 552-nucleotide long non-coding RNA is filed under the name Salvia miltiorrhiza (redroot sage). RNAcentral's name for it is "long non-coding RNA (SMIL_LNC005454)". Lineage: Eukaryota; Viridiplantae; Streptophyta; Magnoliopsida; Lamiales; Lamiaceae. The record is from RNAcentral.
UCUUACCAACUAUACAUUUGAUGAUUUUUUAUUGUACUGAAAUUGAAAGGCGCAAGAAUCAUAAAUUACAAGAAUUUCGUGGCCUACCCUUCAACUUGUAAAAAUAACGAGGUAGGUAGAGCGAGUAGACUCCAUUUACACACAUGACACAAAACUAAUUUAAUUAAUUUAAUAAUACACGUAACGUCCCACAUAUUCAAGGGGCCGAAAUUACAUAUUUACCCACCUUUCCUUUCCCUCUCAUCCCACCAAAAGUAGAAAAAUAUCCAAACCUACCCAAUGCAAUUUCAAUUGAAUGGUUGUUGUAUCUAAACACUUGGUCUUGGGUCCUCCCUCAGGGGCAUGUCCGUAAUUUUGUAAAAGUAACAGUUCCAAUCAACAAUUACACCAAAAAAAACACGAGGAAGAAAAAGAAAUGCACAGGGAAGGGCAAAUGGGGAUUGAUCGGAAUUGUCCUAAUCCCCGGCGGCGGAGGACGACGGUGACCACGGCGUCAUGUCCAUGGGGUAGCUGCCGAGCACUCUGAGGAAGGAGGUGAACUCCUGCACCUCG